ACACACAGAGACAAACACUGUCAUGAUCAACCACAGGUCAGUGAACCUGUACCGUCCACCUGUUCCUAAUAUUCUGACCCUCAGGUGAAUGUUAGGAAAAGCUGGAGCUGCCUUCAGCUGAUUGGUUCACAGAACACAUGGUGAUCUAACAGCUGAUGGAGACAAACCUGUGCUACGGUAACAACGUGGAAGGAUGUGUGAGAUGCACCGAUCAGAUUAUUCCUGAUCAAUAAUCUGAUCUAAUGUCCACAGACGGGUGAGUCAACAGACGGGUGAGACAACAGACGGGUGAGUCGUCAGGUGAGUCAACAGACGGGUGAGUCGUCAGGUGAGUCAACAGACGGGUGAGACGUCAGGUGAGUCAACAGACGGGUGAGUCGUCAGGUGAGUCAACAGACGGGUGAGACGUCAGGUGAGUCAACAGACGGGUGAG
This is a long non-coding RNA of Hippoglossus stenolepis (Pacific halibut), 433 nucleotides long. RefSeq lists it as uncharacterized. NCBI's taxonomy places the organism in Eukaryota, Metazoa, Chordata, Actinopteri, Pleuronectiformes, Pleuronectidae. The transcript has 2 exons. The record is from RefSeq and is a predicted model, not a curated record.